Molecule: ribosomal RNA, 2414 nt
Filed under: Clostridioides difficile
Lineage: Bacteria; Bacillati; Bacillota; Clostridia; Peptostreptococcales; Peptostreptococcaceae
Description: bacterial LSU rRNA
Rfam family: Bacterial large subunit ribosomal RNA
Source: RNAcentral
AGGGUGCAGGGCGGAUGCCUUGGCACUAGGAGCCGAUGAAGGACGUGAUAAGCUGCGAUAAGCUUCGGGGAGUUGCACGUAAACUUUGAUCCGAAGAUUUCCGAAUGAGGAAACUCACUUAGAGUAAUGUCUAAGUAUCAUUAAGUGAAUACAUAGCUUAAUGAGGGGAACUCAGGGAACUGAAACAUCUAAGUACCUGAAGGAAGAGAAAGAAAUUCGAUUCCGUAAGUAGCGGCGAGCGAACGCGGAUUAGCCCAAACCAAUAAAGUUUUCUUUAUUGGGGUUGCGGACAUAUCAUAACGAAGAGGUAUCGUAAUUGAAGAGGUUUGGAAAGACCCACCACAGAAGGUAAUAGUCCUGUAUGUUAAACGAGAAGACUUCAGAUAUGAUCCAGAGUACCACGGGACACGUGAAACCCUGUGGGAAGCAGGAGGGACCACCCUCCAAGGCUAAAUACUACCUAGUGACCGAUAGCGUAUAGUACCGUGAGGGAAAGGUGAAAAGAACCCCGGGAGGGGAGUGAAAUAGAACCUGAAACCCUGCACUUACAAGCUGUGGAAGCACAUUUCUUGUGUGACCGCGUACUUUUUGUAGAACGGGCCAACGAGUUACGUUAAGUAGCAAGGUUAAGCACUUAAGGUGCGGAGCCGUAGCGAAAGCGAGUUUUAACUGAGCGUUCAGUUACUUGACGUAGACCCGAAACCGGGCGACCUACCCAUGAGCAGGAUGAAGCGAAAGUAAAAUUUCGUGGAGGUCCGAACCCACGAGCGUUGAAAAGCUCGGGGAUGACUUGUGGGUAGCGGUGAAAUUCCAAUCGAGCCCGGAGAUAGCUGGUUCUCCCCGAAAUAGCUUUAGGGCUAGCCUCAAGGUGAGAGAUACGGAGGUAGAGCACUGAAUGUCCUAGGGGGUAUUGCACCUACCGAAGACUAUCAAACUCCGAAUGCCGUCAUCUUAUACUUGGGAGUCAGACUGUGGGUGAUAAGAUUCAUAGUCGAAAGGGCAACAGCCCAGAUCGUCAGCUAAGGUCCCUAAAUGUAAGUUAAGUGGUAAAGGAUGUGGGAUUGCACAGACAACCAGGAUGUUGGCUUAGAAGCAGCCACUCAUUCAAAGAGUGCGUAAUAGCUCACUGGUCGAGUGAUCCUGCGCCGAAGAUUUCCGGGGCUAAAACUUACUACCGAAGCUACGGCAUCAGUAAUGAUGGGUAGGGGAGCUUCCCAUACGGGUUGAAGCAUGACCGUAAGGACAUGUGGACAGUAUGGGAGUGAGAAUGUUGGCAUGAGUAGCGAGAUGUGGGUGAGAAUCCCACAGGCCGUAAACCCAAGGUUUCCAGGGGAAGGUUCGUCCGCCCUGGGUUAGUCGGGACCUAAGCUGAGGCCGAAAGGCGUAGGUGAUGGACAACAGGUUGAUAUUCCUGUACUACCGAUAACCGUUUGAGAGAAGGGAUGACACAGUAGGAUAAGCUAAGCACACUGUUGGUUAUGUGUGCCCAAGCAUUGAGGCAGUCAAAGUAGGCAAAUCCGCUUUGAUAAUGCUGGGAUGUGAUGGGGAGCGAAAUUUAGUAGCGAAGUAGCUGAUUUCACACUGUCAAGAAAAGUCUCUAUCGAGGUUAAAGGUACCCGUACCGCAAACCGACACAGGUGGGUGAGGAGAGUAUCCUAAGGCCAGCGAGAGAACUGUUGUUAAGGAACUCGGCAAAAUGACCCCGUAACUUAGGGAUAAGGGGUGCCACCAUCAGGUGGCCGCAGAGAAUAGGCCCAAGCGACUGUUUACCAAAAACAUAGGUUUCUGCUAAGUCGCAAGACGAUGUAUAGGAGCUGACGCCUGCCCGGUGCUGGAAGGUUAAGGGGAUCUGUUAGAGCAAUCGAAGCAGUGAACUUAAGCCCCAGUAAACGGCGGCCGUAACUAUAACGGUCCUAAGGUAGCGAAAUUCCUUGUCGGGUAAGUUCCGACCCGCACGAAAGGCGUAACGAUUUGGGCACUGUCUCAACAACAGACUCGGUGAAAUUGUAAUUCCGGUGAAGAUGCCGGAUACCUGCGACAGGACGGAAAGACCCCAUGGAGCUUUACUGUAGCUUGACAUUGGGUCUUGGUACUACAUGUACAGGAUAGGUGGGAGGCUUUGAAACCAGGACGCCAGUUUUGGCGGAGCCAUCCUUGGGAUACCACCCUUGUAGUACUGGGACUCUAACCAUAGGCCAUGAAUCUGGUCUUGGGACACUGUCAGGUGGGCAGUUUGACUGGGGCGGUCGCCUCCCAAAAGGUAACGGAGGCGCUCAAAGGUUCUCUCAGUACGGUCGGAAAUCGUACGUAGAGUGUAAAGGCAAAAGAGAGCUUGAUUGCAAGACAUACAGGUCGAGCAAGGAUGAAAAUCGGACUUAGUGAUCCGGUGGUUCUGCGUGGAAGGGCCAUCGCUC